Molecule: unclassified non-coding RNA, 204 nt
Filed under: soil metagenome
Description: partial contains 5.8S ribosomal RNA, internal transcribed spacer 2, and large subunit ribosomal RNA
Source: RNAcentral
AACAAGGCGUACCUGCGGACCUGCGGAAGGAUCAUUACCGAGUUUACAACUCCCAAACCCCUGUGAACAUACCAAUUGUUGCCUCGGCGGAUCAGCCCGCUCCCGGUAAAACGGGACGGCCCGCCAGAGGACCCCUAAACUCUGUUUCUAUAUGUAACUUCUGAGUAAAACCAUAAAUAAAUCAAAACUUUUAACAAUGGAUCU